Molecule: ribosomal RNA, 468 nt
Filed under: uncultured bacterium
Lineage: Bacteria
Description: partial 16S ribosomal RNA
Rfam family: Bacterial small subunit ribosomal RNA
Source: RNAcentral
GACGAACGCUGGCGGCGUGCUUAACACAUGCAAGUCGAACGGAAAGGCCCUGCUUUUGUGGGGUGCUCGAGUGGCGAACGGGUGAGUAACACGUGAGUAACCUGCCCUUGACUUUGGGAUAACUUCAGGAAACUGGGGCUAAUACCGGAUAGGAGCUCCUGCUGCAUGGUGGGGGUUGGAAAGUUUCGGCGGUUGGGGAUGGGCUCGCGGCUUAUCAGCUUGUUGGUGGGGUAGUGGCUUACCAAGGCUUUGACGGGUAGCCGGCCUGAGAGGGUGACCGGCCACAUUGGGACUGAGAUACGGCCCAGACUCCUGCGGGAGGCAGCAGUGGGGAAUAGUGCACAAUGGGCGGAAGCCUGAUGCAGCAACGCCGCGUGCGGGAUGACGGCCUUCGGGUUGUAAACCGCUUUCGCCUGUGACGAAGCGUGAGUGACGGUAAUGGGUAAAGAAGCACCGGCUAACUACGUG